GGACAGCAGUUAUGUAAUGUUGCUUCACCAAACAGGUACUGUGUCAUACCUCAGUGCAACCUGGAGCAUGCUGCCUGUCAGGGCUUAGUCAUUAUUCCUGUUAGAAUCAACAAGUCUUCUCCAAAGAGACUCAACCACUGCUGCUGUGGGCAGGCCGGCUUUGGGAGCAACACAGCUAUUUCCUUUGAUUCAGGCACCACCAAAACCGCUACCCAAACUCCCACAGCAGUUAGCAAUAGAAUAAACAAAAAGAUGAAGCAAGAAGCCUGAAUCAGAGGAUAAGAAAAGAAAAACUAGUUGAUAUGAGGCCGAACACUUCAGAGCCAUUGUUUCCACCCUCCUGAGGGAAGGUCUGGAUAUUUUAAAACAAGUUGCCCAUGGAGUAGAUGUUUAUAGGGCUGCACAACCAUCUCUGGACCCUGGAUCACUGAGACAUGCAUGUUGGCAACUUUUUCCACAGAGCACAUGGACAUUUUCUUUUUCAUAGAUGUACAUUUGAAGGAUGAAAAAGUGGGUGUGAGGAGGAGGGUGAUAUGCAGGGUUGUGGGUGGGUGAGGGGACACACAAGUCUUCAGAUGGCCACAUUGUGUGCUCCUGGCUCUCUGGACAGCAAACCUGGGGUGCUGGGCAAGGAAACACUCAAGUGGGACAACUAGAUUCCAAACCUCACUACGGCACCAUGAAGGGGGGCUAUGAAGCUUUGGAGGCCCAUGCCUUCUGGCGUCAUCUGGUUCCUCCUCCUAGAGUAGGAGACAGACAUCACACACAGGUUCUCAUGAAUAUGAAAAGCAUUUUUUUUAAGAGAUAGGGAAACACUUGACACUGGUAUGGAACACUUCUACACUGAUGUAGGUCAGAUUCAAGGCCAGAGAAACCAAGGUAAGAAGCCAAAAACCCCUGGGGUGGGGAGGCCCAGUGAGUGAACUGGACACAAGAAAAAAUUAAACAUAAACCACCAGAGGAGCCAGUAACUCAGCAAAGCUUCCAAAGCUUGGAAUGGGAAGACUUCCCUGGUCUUUGAGGCAAUGACGGG
Molecule: long non-coding RNA, 1033 nt
Organism: Heterocephalus glaber (naked mole-rat)
Lineage: Eukaryota; Metazoa; Chordata; Mammalia; Rodentia; Bathyergidae
Source: Ensembl